Esox lucius (northern pike) is the source of this 4646-nucleotide long non-coding RNA. The record is from Ensembl. NCBI's taxonomy places the organism in Eukaryota, Metazoa, Chordata, Actinopteri, Esociformes, Esocidae.
CAACCAGCCCACUCAUUUGGCACACACUUUGGCCAUGUCCAAAGUCUGGCAUGCCUACUACUUCUAGUGUAGUGAUCAUACUACACGCUACAUGAUGGGACUUCCGAACAAUUAAGCAUGUGCUUUUUAGUGAAAAUCGUGCAGUAUGCCAAAUCCAAAACGUAUUACUUUUGAUACAUUCAAAACAACUGGGAACUCAAAAAUCAAACAAGCUCAGUCUAGGAAAACAAUUGACAGAGCACUGAGAAGACAGGUUUUCCUCCUGCUCCUCUCAUUAAAGAUCGAGCAAGAGAUUGCUACUGCAAACCUGAAUUUAAACUCUGCGAUCCUGCUUCAAUGUUGGAGAUAGAGACCCUUAACAGCGACACUGGAGAAGGGCUGUGACCAUGGCUUAGGAAAGGCUUUGGAUGAGCAGAUUUUUUGUGUCCCGGAGAGCCAGCGCAACAUCCUAGCGUGUGGUGUCUGAGGCGUUCAGAUGUGAACCACUCAUCAGAACCAGUCAUCAGAACCAGUCAUCAGAACCACUCAUAAGAACCACUCAUCAGAACCACUCAUCAGAACCACUCAUCAGAACCAGUCAAUGUCAAGCCUGACAAAGAUGUAAAGCGACCGGGCCAGGCCUUGGAGAGACAGGGCCGCAUGGGGCACGGUCAGGACACCUGACGCAGGCAGGCAGACAGGCCUGACGUAGAGGAGGAACAUGAGGAAGAACAUUUCACGCACACAAGGACAAAGAUUUAAAAAAAAAAAACAUCCAUGCAAACUCAUGUACCAAAGGACUCAAGCACACAGAAGCAUGCCCAUAAUGAGUUGCAUGAAUGGUUUUGAAUCCAGCCGUAUCCAGGCUUCUAUGCCGUUCUUAUCUGGACUUGUGUUGGCUCCUGUUCCUGGGGACCAUGGGGAAGGACAAGUCCUGGCUGUCCUGGUUCUUGACAGAGGAGAUAAAUCACACAGCACACUGGAGGAUACCCUUCCAGCCGGCAAGCUGGGAACUUCAUUAUCCCGCCCUCGCCACACAUUACCAUGUAGAUCGGCCCUGAUUGGGCCAGAGCCGGUGUGCGCAGCCUACUUCUGUCACCGCCAGAGGAUCCUCAGAUCUGUCUCAGCCAACGUGGACCCAACCAAGAAGAGAGGAAGGAGAGGAGAGGAUAAUUAGAUAUUAAAGUUUGGAAAUAGGAGGAAAGCGUGAAGAACCCAGAGCCUUGAUUAAAGACGUACGGCCAAACACCUUAGAGAUUGUGCCAUCAAUCUUUUGAGGUAAUUUUUACAAUCAAGCACAAUCUCAUGGAGAACUUUAUAGCAUUUUAUUAUAUAUUAUUUGAACUGGAGAACACCCGACUACUUUCCAUGUAUUUAAUGUCAACUUUGUGGUUUUAAGUACAGUUUCUUUCAUUUUCCAUGGAAUUGCUUUCUGGUAAGCAAAAUCGGUGUAAAAUCAGGGGGGGGCUCCACGCAACCACUGUUUCCCAUUUCUGUUCCUUACAUUCCGCAUCAACACUCUCACACCUUGUAUAUUUUCCUAACACGUAUUUUUCUUUCCCACCUCAAGCCACCCGCCUUGCAAAGUUUAAGAAUCAGUCUCCCACGUGAAAAAGCGCUUUGUACAAGUCUUUGUCAUGUGACUUCACAGAAGGAAAGGCCACAUUAUUAAAUGAAAACAUAGUUAUGAUACAAGACCACCAUGUUCAAAGAAAGAAGAGGUAGACAGCGCAUAUCUCACAAUGGGCAUGACUAUGUGUCUUGGAGAGUGUUUGUGUGGUCCCGUAGCAUAAAGUAAGAAAACCCAUUCUUGUCAUUGGAGCCAGCAUGUAGGGAGAUUGGCUUCCUCUCUCACAGUAGAGAAAACACACACACAUUCAGACAAACACACACCCACCCACGCUCAUACACACAAGUUUCCUGGCAGAGGAAUCAUGAGUGCAUUGUCCAAUGUGGUCUGUCAACGUGAAUCGAUUUGUUUUCUUACCUGUCCUUGCCUAAGUGUGUGUGUUUGUGUGUGUGUGUGUGUGUGUGUGUGUACAUGAAUCCUUAUGAUAUUUGAAUGUGUUUGUAGACUUAUGGGUUAUGAUUAGGGUUUGGGGUUAGGGUAAGACAAUGCCUAGGGUGGUGCGUUAAAGUUAGGUUUGUGCGUUAAUUACGUCAAGAUUAGGGUAAGGUUAGAGUCGGAGUUAGGAUGAGUGUGAGGAAAAUACAUUUUUGAAUGAAUGAACAAACAAAUGUUAGUUAGGUUGUGUACAUUUAACAGUAAUAGUGUGUGAGAGAGGAAUACAACAAUAUUUACCACAUUUUAAGUGAUGUUUGUGUUAUAAAUGCUACAGAAUGCCUUCAAAAGCACAACAUAAAUGUGUUACAAAGCAUUUAUAACUGUAUGUCAUGCUUUAUAACGGGGUCAUUAAUAUGGCAUUAACAGUGUGAUGUAGGCUACAUACAACUUUCAAAUGUGAUAUUAUCCGCUUUAUUGAAUAUGACAUAAACCAAUGCUUUACAAAGGGUGACUAAGGACUCGUUGAUACAGACUUUAUAAAUCAUUGUAAAUUGAGGUUGCAAAACAGUUAAUUGUUAGGAUAAUGGGUUAAAUUACCUGGUGAUUGCAUAAUGUAUCACCAAGUUACUGAAAAAUUGUAUGCUAAAUACUAUAUACCGAAAUGUGUGGUAUAUGGUCAAUAUACCAGGGGUAAGGCCUGGAACCAUGGAAUCCGGCCAGGAAUCACAAACUCCGGCCUGGAACAACACACUCCAGCCAGGAACCACGUACUGCGGCCUGGAACCAUGUACUCCAGCCUGGAACCACGCACUCCGGCCAGGAACCACAAACUCCAGCCUGGAACCAGGCACUCCAGCCUGGAACCACGCACUCCGGCCAGGAACCACAAACUCCAGCCUGGAACCAGGCACUCCGGCCAGGAACCAUGUACUCCAGCCUGGAACCACGCACUUCGGCCAGAUACCAUUGCCUCAGGCCUAACAACAGUGUCCUUAUUUGUAUUAUAAACUAGUGACCAAUGGGAAAGUUUUAUGUUAUUUUUGAUAUCAUGAUUUAUUACAGCUGUAGUCUGUAAAAUAACAUUAAACUGUAUCCAGGUACACCACAAUGCAUAGUGCCUAAGAACAGUUCUUUGCCAUGAUAUAUUGUACAUGUACCACACUCUUGCCUACCAUUUUCCUAUUGGUUACAUAGCCAAUAUGGGCAUCAGGAUGACACACAGUAUUACAGUAAUGUGUAGAACAAGUCUUUGGUAUGGCUCUUUUACAGUGCUUAUAUAGAGUGCCUUCCAAAAGUAUUCAGAACCAUUAACAUUUUGUUGUGCUGUAGGCCUAAAUAUUGUAUUUUCUUUUGCCAUCAAUCUUACACAUAAUACCGCAUAGUGACAAAGCUAAAGCAUAUUGUCACUUGUGGCAAUUUAUUGAAAACGAAAAACUGAAAUAUGUUACGUACGAUAGAAAUAACUAUCCUGGCAUUGCAUGAAUACCUUAAAGCUUCAAUUGAAUAUGAUUUUUAUUAAGCAGUGCUUUUGCCACCCUUCAUAAAGCAUAGGUUUAUGUCAUAUUUGAGACAGCGAGUUAUGUCACAGUUAUGACAAAAAUAACACUGUAUAUUUACAGUGGGUAGCUUAUUCGUCUACUGAAGGUGGCCUAAAGGAACUCCAUUGACCUGCUACUGUAGGUAAUCUAGCUAAAGUCUUGUAAGCUAGCUGUCUUUAAUCAUUGUUAAUAGAAAAAGGCAUCAAAUGCUUUGUAGAUAAAGGUCAGACAAGAUGUAGAACUGUUGCUCCAGCUGUGAGUGCAAGCAGUAGCCAAUAGGGAGAGUGUAGGCAGGCUAAUCUACUGGAUGGAACAGGUACUUUUGUGGGAAGAGUUAUAGAAAUGUUCCGUGUAGUAUCAUUUUAGUGUAGUAAAAUGUUUUUCUUUGUGAAGUUUUCUGUCAUCACCGCAGCUCCAUAAUUGUCUCUGUUCUCAGAGACUCUAUAUAUGUUUAUAUGAAUCAAAGACCAUCCGUUCACAUGGUAGGUUACAUAUGGGCCUGUCGCUAGGAGCAGUGAUGAGAACAUUUAGACUAAAAGAGAGUUUGGUUCUGUGUACAGGGACAGUGGGUGGGAAGGGGAUUUAUUAUUUGUGUCUUAUUUUCUAAAAUGAUGCCCUGAUGUGUUGCACCUCUUGAUGUGUUGCACCUCUUGAUGUAUUGUACCUCUUGAUAUGUUGUACCUCCUGAUGUACAGUACCACCCGAUGUACUGAACCUCCUAAUGUGUUGUACCUCUUGAUAUGUUGUACCUCUUGAUGUGUUACACCUCUUGAUAUGUUUUACCUCCUGAUGUACAGUACCACCCGAUGUACUGUACCUCCUGAUGUAUUGUACCUCUUGAUAUGUUGUACCUCCUGAUGUGUUGCACCUCUUGAUAUGUUGUUCCUCUUGAUGUGUUGCACCUUUUGAUAUGUUGUACCUCCUGAUGUACAGUACCACCCUAUGUACUGUACCUCCUAAUGUGUUGUACCUCUUGAUGAGUUGUACCUUCUGAUGUACUGUAACUCUAGAUGUGUUGUACAUCUUGAUGUACUGUAGCUCUUGAUGUGUUGUAUCUCUUGAUGUACUGUAGCUCUUGAUGUACUGUAACUCUUGAUGUGUUGUGAAUAAAAACAGAAUCCAAU